UCCUUGGUGGUUUAGUGGCUAAGAUUCUGUGCUCACAAUACAGAGGACCCAGGUUCAAUCCCUGGUCAAGGAA
Dama dama (fallow deer) is the source of this 73-nucleotide non-coding RNA. The record is from the annotation of a RefSeq genome assembly. NCBI's taxonomy places the organism in Eukaryota, Metazoa, Chordata, Mammalia, Artiodactyla, Cervidae.